Molecule: long non-coding RNA, 4938 nt
Filed under: Lactuca sativa (garden lettuce)
Lineage: Eukaryota; Viridiplantae; Streptophyta; Magnoliopsida; Asterales; Asteraceae
Description: long non-coding RNA (LSAT_LNC009670)
Source: RNAcentral
CACACACACACACUAGAUGUUGAAGUGACUUCAAGAUUACACUUGUUCCUUGAUCAAAAUCAAAAUCAAAGUCUGCAAGAACAAUAAUCCUUUAAUAAUUAAUUACCACUGAUACUUUUCAUAUUUGGAUUAAAAAGUGGGCGAGGAGGGAAGCACAUGAAGAAAGUUCAACAGGUAGAUCUUCAAUUGUGUUUCUUGAAAUUAAGAUCAACUUUUGUGGUGGAACAACACUUAACCCAUGCCCUCCUAAAGAAAAGGGUUUAUUUUUUUCAAAAUUAUAUUACUAAUAGCCAUGCACAUAAGCUGUUAUGUCCAGAAACUUGGUAUUUCUAAAGUCAAAAAUCAAAAUUUUCGGUUGUAGUAAAAAACUGAAUCCAAUAAGUGCAAAUGAUCUAUCUCUAAGUAGCAAAGAGUAAAUGAACUUUUUGACCUAAAAUCACAUAAAAGGAAAUUAAAAGUCAUUUCCUCAAUUUGAUAUUUGGACUAAAGAUUAUUGUUGAAAGUACCUUUCUAUUUAGAAGUGAUGUCAACUAACAAAUAACAAAAAAAGAAAAAGGGCUGAAAAUUCCUUUAGCAUAAUCACUUUUCUUCCCAUAUAACUAUAGCAUAAAGAAACUAAAUGAGAGUGAAAACCCAUGGUUUGCUCAAAAAUACACCAAAUGGUACAGUCAAAUCUUAACAUGCUGAUAUAGAUACAAUAUCCAAGAUAUCAACUAUUUUUUAUUAUGAAAUAGUUGAUCUUUCUUUUCUUCCAGGAUGAGUAAGCUAACCAAGUUUAUGAUUUAACCCAAACAAAAUGCAGGAAAGCUAGGAAUCACAAAAACACACACACACACACGUGGUAAGUAGCACAAAAUUACAGACAAUAGUCUGUAAUAGCAUUUGAUAAGAACAAAUAUCUCAUGGGCAUUUUAUCAAUCACAUAGAGUGCAACAUCAAAUGCAAGGUUAAGAAGGCAAUCAGAUACAACACACAUUCAUGAUAAUAAAAAAUCGAAUACAAUUAAUAAAAAUUAAGAACAUCAGAUUAAAGAAGAAACCUAGAUGACGAAUGAAUUGAAGAAGAAAACCAAGGUGUGAAUAAUAGCCAGAACAGUAAUCGAAUUUAUAGAGUGAUUUCAAUAUGGAAUUCAUUUUGUUCCACAAAAAUUGGGAUCUCACGUAUCAACAGAGAUUAACGACUCGAAAAUAGAGCCUAUAUAUGGGAACUCUAUCAAUUUACUUCAUUAAAAAUUCAAAUUCAAAUUGAGGAGAUGAUUUACGGGAGAGUUAAUAUGAAAGCAAUUCUCCUGUUUACUAAAUUGAAGAAAAAAUGUUGUGAGAGUAAAAUGGAUACAGAAAGUAUGUUGUAUGGGAUGUGAAUUUGGAAUGCAACAAUGGUCUGAGGAAAAUAAGGCAAUUGAUUUGAGAAAACACGUUAUAGAUUCAAUUGGUUGCUGAUAUGUGGGACCUCAAAUAAAGCCCAUAUUACGCGCCACAGAGAAUCAUAUUUGUUUUUAAAAAAAAAAUACACAUGUCAAUUUUAGAAGGUAGAAGGAAAAAAUUGAAAAAUAUGAGAAAAUGACAUUUGUCAAAACACCUAAGAAGUUGACAAGUGGCAAAAGGAUUUUUAUUUAUUAGAACAGACUGCAUUGUGUGAUAUAGACUAGGGUAGAACUGAAUUGAGAGAGACUAUUUACUGAAUGAUUGAAACACUCUGUUAGUAGAAUGUGUAUUACAAACUGACUGAAAUCAGGAACUCUAUGUAUGUCCUGAAACAACGAAAUCAAAUGUUUCUGAGUCAAAUUAAAUUUUUAAAAAUUAUUAAAUAUACCAUACCCAACUUAGUUUCUAGGACAUGGACACUUAUCUAGAUUAGAUUCUGGAAGAUAGUUUUGUCAAAACUUGAGAGAUAACUCCUUGAAAGAUUCAUUCAUUUAUCUCCUUUGAUAUCUCUAUGUAUGUCCUGAAACAACAAAAUCAAAUGUUAAAAUUUUAAAAAUUAUUAAACAUACCAUACCCAACUUAGUUGCUAGGACAUGGACACUUAUCUAGAUUAGAUUCUGGAAGGUACUUUUGAGAUGAUUUCUUGAAAGAUUCAUUCAUUUAUCUCCUUCGAUAACUCUAUGUAUGUCCUGAAACAAUGAAAUCAAAUCAAAUGUUUCUGAGUGAGUCGGUUUAAAAAUUAUUAAACAUACCCAGCUGCUAGGAAUAACCAACCAACAGAAGAAUUUAAAAGAGACAAAUAAUAAGCAAGAGGACUUUUAACUAAAUAAAGUACAUUAUUACCUGCAAUUUUGGUUUCUCAUGCACAACUUUUCAUAAUUCAAAUCCAUACUUUAACAUCACAAUAAAACUAAUCAACUGAAGAAAUCAUAAUCAUACUUACAAGGGCAUAAGAAACACAAUUUUUCAUUUGAAUCCAACCCUAGACCUCCCCUCCUCCUCCUUCUUCUUCUUCUUCUUCUUCUUCCAUGUUUGUACACUGCUACUGCAACAAAAAAUCAAAAUUAUAUAGAAAAAAAUUAACUGCAAGCUAAAUAUUGAAGGAAAACAAAAAACUCGGUGCCAUUUAGUUUUCUUGGCAGCUGAAACUUGCAAGGGCAUAAUGGUAAUUAGAAGUGAUUGUAAAAAAAACAAAACUCUCAAUGCCAGUUAGUUUGAAACUUGCAAGGGCAAAAUGGUAAUCUUUUUUCCUACCGACUAAGAAACAUAUUUUAACAAUUUAAGCCUAGCCUAACCCUUUUCAUAUUAUCAAAGCAGCAGCAUAUAACAUACAGAUGAUAAGAAAUGACACGUGACCUUUUUUUAUGCAGCUUUCAUGGCCUAGUGUCCAUACGGGAGGAGUGAUCAGCCAGGUGGACAAACGGGCCCGGAGGUUGCUUAAUCCGGUUGGGGUCCUCUGUAAUUAAAAAAAAAAAAAAAAAAAAAAAAAAAUAGUAUUAACUGCAGGGAACAGCAAGCAACAUACUUUAUUCUCACUACCAAAUACCAAUAUUGGCAAUGUUGGUUACUCAAACAUAAAACUUGAAACUUAUAGAAUAGUUUCAGGUAAAAAAAUGUUGCUAUUAUAGAUAAAGAAGGUAAGUAAGGUAUUAUAUAUGAUGCCGGUAAAAAUAGUAAGGUAUGUUGGUAUUAUACAUACCAGAUGAGAAUGAGAUGAUAAAACAUCAUUAUAGGCAGCAUUGUACUAUGACAAACCUACAACAUAAGUAUAUUGUUAUUAUAGGUAAACAAAUAAAGUACGAGUCAGGAAUAAAGUAGGAGUAUUUAAUGAUACCUUCCUUCCACAUUCCAUGUUAGAGAUCGAAAUUGGCUUGUACAAAAGAUGGAUAAGCAAGCUGUUCCCAUUAAUUUACUUUUUAUAACACACCUACAAUAUUCAUUUAGAUUAUGUUAGUUGGAAAGCCAGAACAGAAUAUUGUCUAGGAGCAUUAAAUGAUACCUUUUCAUAACAGGUAAUCCAUACUUAAUUUUGACUCAUGGUCAACUCAUGAGAUGAGCUUUGAGCUUUGAGCUUCCAACAUAACUAUGACCAAUAUAACCAACCAACAGGCAAGAGUAAGAUAUUUAAAUGCAUAUGCUAACAACAUCAUGUAUGUAUGUAUGUAUGUAUGUAAAUGUAAUCAUCAUUUAGUAUCUAUCUUUCAACCAAAGAAAAUGCUCGGAGGAAAAUAGAUACAUACUAAUACUUGCUUCAUUAUAUAUGCCAAAUGUCCCUGUUCUCUUCAACUUCAACACAGUCAGUCGUUUGAUAGUCAACAACUGGCUUGGCUUGGCUUGGCUUGGCUUGGCUUGUUAGUUGGAAGAGUCCUACUAGACAAUGCCAUAUAAAACAAAAUAAUCAUUCCUAAAUCUGGGACAGAUGAUUGAGGAUUAGCGUAAAUGUAUACACAUUACAUUACAUUAGAUGUGUUUAUUAAGUCAUUCUUUUUGCAUUGAGUUAAAAUAGAAAUAUCCAUAUAGUUUAUUAUUCCAUGUUCUCAUUAAGUAGAAAAGAAACAACAAUUAAGAAAAAAGUUAAUGCUCUUAUCUUCAUUUAAUAGACUCUUUUGUUCACAUACAAUGGAUGCAUAAGAAUUGUUGCUACAUGUCAUUGUCAAUUCUUUCAAUAUAUAUAAAAAAGAUGAUAAAGACCCUUUUUCUAACAGAAAUGAAGAAUUAUGCGUAAAGUACAACUGGAGUCUGAAUUGUACCUUUAGGAGUAACAAGUAACAACAGAAUAUGAUUAUUUAACUGUUGCUCAAAAUCCCCCACUCUUUUCUGCUAAUACUGUAAUCACAGAAAUUUACAAAUUCAUAUGCAAAAAGAAGAAAACUUAACUGCUACUGGAAGGAAUAACUUACUUACUAUGUAUGUGGUUUUGUUUUUGUGGAUGUAUGUAUGUAACAUCUUCAACAGGACUGGAGCAGAAUUCUUGUCAUCCUUCCUUUACCUCAAUUCAAUUCCCUCGACGACGAUUACUUGGUAUUUAAGUUUAAGGAACUAAAACAUAGUGAUUUAAUAGAUGAAAUUUCUACAUUUACCUCUUUAUUAAACUCUGAACGACAUGCAUGCAAUGCAGCAGCAUCUAUUAUCAAACAACUAAUACUCCAUUGAGCCGAAUUGCUGUGACAUUCUGCUUCAUUGGAGCAUGAGUAUACAAAAUCCUAGUUUUCUAUUGUUGUAUGUUCUACAAAGUCUAGGAUCAAAUGUUUUUCCUAAUAAACUACUUUCAAGGACCUUAUAGCCAAAUUAUAUAACCAUCUGCCAACUUGCUGCAAAGGAGGCCAAGCCAUUUCAUCACAAAUUAAAAAAAAAAAAAAAAAAUCCAAAAUUGACCAUCUGCAUUCACAUGUUCAUUUGUUGUUAACUUUCAACUAAGAAAUGACUAAACUAUAAAUUCAUGACCAUAUAUAUAUAUUUUUUUUUUGACUUAAUGAAAAAAGAACAAAGCUUAAGUGCUAAUGGAAUAACUUAC